This 490-nucleotide ribosomal RNA is filed under the name uncultured bacterium. RNAcentral's name for it is "partial 16S ribosomal RNA". It matches the Rfam family "Bacterial small subunit ribosomal RNA", at positions 30 to 507 of the family's 1533-position model. The record is from RNAcentral.
AUUGAACGCUGGCGGCAUGCCUUACACAUGCAAGUCGAACGGCAGCAUGAUCUAGCUUGCUAGAUUGAUGGCGAGUGGCGCACGGGUGAGUAAUACAUCGGAACGUGCCCUGUAGUGGGGGAUAACUAGUCGAAAGAUUAGCUAAUACCGCAUACGACCUGAGGGUGAAAGUGGGGGACCGCAAGGCCUCAUGCUAUAGGAGCGGCCGAUGUCUGAUUAGCUAGUUGGUGAGGUAAAGGCUCACCAAGGCGACGAUCAGUAGCUGGUCUGAGAGGACGAUCAGCCACACUGGGACUGAAACACGGCCCAGACUCCUACGGGAGGCAGCAGUGGGGAAUUUUGGACAAUGGGCGAAAGCCUGAUCCAGCAAUGCCGCGUGUGUGAAGAAGGCCUUCGGGUUGUAAAGCACUUUUGUCCGGAAAGAAAUGGCUCUGGUUAAUACCUGGGGUCGAUGACGGUACCGGAAGAAUAAGGACCGGCUAACUACGUG